Molecule: ribosomal RNA, 618 nt
Filed under: uncultured organism
Description: bacterial SSU rRNA
Rfam family: Bacterial small subunit ribosomal RNA
Source: RNAcentral
UACCCCGGUAGUCCUAGCUGUAAACGAUGGAUGCCUGGGUGUGGGUGGGUGUAAACUCCCUCUGUGCCGAAGCAAAUCGCGUUAAGCAUCCCGCCUGGGGACUACGGCCUCAAGGCUAAAACUCAAACGAAUUGACGGGGGCCCGCACAAGCAGCGGAGCGUGUGGUUUAAUUCGAUGCUACACGAAGAACCUUACCUGGGUUUGACAUGCACGUGGUAGGGAACCGAAAGGGGACCGACCUUCGGGAGCGUGCACAGGUGCUGCAUGGCUGUCGUCAGCUCGUGCCGUGAGGUGUCGGGUUAAGUCCCGUAACGAGCGCAACCCUUGCCCUUAGUUACAAGUGUCUAAGGGGACUGCCCGGGACAACUGGGAGGAAGGUGGGGAUGACGUCAAGUCAGCAUGGCCUUUAUAUCCAGGGCUACACACACGCUACAAUGGCCGGUACAAUAGGUGNCGAAGUCGUGAGGCGGAGCCAAUCCUCAAAGCCGGUCUCAGUUCGAAUUGCAGUCUGCAACUCGACUGCAUGAAGCUGGAGUUGCUAGUAAUCGCAGGUCAGCUAUACUGCGCUGAUACGUUCCCGGGCAUGUACGCACCGCCCGUCACGUCAUGGAAGCUGG